UAAUUACUACAUUGAUCAACAGAUCGACUUAUAAGAGUCAAGGUGGAGGAGGUUUCUGAAGAUGGCAAUGUUCAGACUCAAGGUGGGGUUGGGGGUGCGCUGCAAGGAAGGAAGAAAGGAGCAACCAUGACACCCGGCAAAUGUUCUAAGGAUGGCAAUGUUCAGACUCAAGGUGUUUCAUUACCGUCAACUUCCUAGUUAAGGUUCAAUGGCUGGAAUUGGAACAGGGGGGGAAUUUUCUUUAUCUCCCUAGUUAAGGUUCCUUGUUAUUGGUGACAGGAACUUGAAGAAGAGAACCAUGGAUGACAACCUUCUGGAGUGCCUUCAAUCUGUGAACAUUUGUUUGGUCAAAUAAAUUCAGUUGUGAACUUACAGCCUGUAAUACUGAUGCUUUUCAUGAGUCUCAGUUGAACAUUUGUUUGAUCAAUUAAAUUGUAACUUGAUGAUUCAGUAGUAAAGUACUGCUAAGCAUUUUGUUUAA
Lolium perenne is the source of this 481-nucleotide long non-coding RNA. RefSeq lists it as uncharacterized. The record is from RefSeq and is a predicted model, not a curated record. NCBI's taxonomy places the organism in Eukaryota, Viridiplantae, Streptophyta, Magnoliopsida, Poales, Poaceae.